RNAcentral lists this ribosomal RNA (434 nucleotides) under uncultured Lachnospiraceae bacterium. RNAcentral's name for it is "partial 16S ribosomal RNA". It matches the Rfam family "Bacterial small subunit ribosomal RNA", at positions 341 to 792 of the family's 1533-position model. The record is from RNAcentral. Lineage: Bacteria; Bacillati; Bacillota; Clostridia; Lachnospirales; Lachnospiraceae.
ACGGAAGGCAGCAGUGGGGAAUAUUGCACAAUGGGGGAAACCCUGAUGUAGCGACGCCGCGUGAAGGAAGAAGUAUCUCGGUAUGUAAACUUCUAUCAGCAGGGAAGAAAAUGACGGUACCUGACUAAGAAGCCCCGGCUAACUACGUGCCAGCAGCCGCGGUAAUACGUAGGGGGCAAGCGUUAUCCGGAUUUACUGGGUGUAAAGGGAGCGUAGACGGCAUUGUAAGUCUGAUGUGAAAGGCAGGGGCUCAACUCCUGGACUGCAUUGGAAACUACAGAGCUUGAGUGCCGGAGGGGUAAGCGGAAUUCCUAGUGUAGCGGUGAAAUGCGUAGAUAUUAGGAGGAACACCAGUGGCGAAGGCGGCUUACUGGACGGUAACUGACGUUGAGGCUCGAGAGCGUGGGGAGCAAACAGGAUUAGAUACCCUGGUA